Molecule: transfer RNA, 69 nt
Filed under: Ovis aries (sheep)
Lineage: Eukaryota; Metazoa; Chordata; Mammalia; Artiodactyla; Bovidae
Rfam family: tRNA
About the family: Transfer RNA (tRNA) molecules are approximately 80 nucleotides in length. Their secondary structure includes four short double-helical elements and three loops (D, anti-codon, and T loops).
Source: Rfam by way of RNAcentral
CCUGGUGGCUGAGAGGGUAAAGCGUCUGCCUGCAGGGCAGGAGAUCUGGGUUUGAUCCCUGGGUCAGGA